GGAUUGUCUUGGGAACCAGGCAGAAAGACAGGUGUGGGCCGGGGCAGGGAAGGUCUCGGUAAACAUGUUAAGGAGUUUGAACGUUACCAUGCCCUUUACGAAGCAACGUGAGAAACGGGUGAGGGCUUCCGAGCGCGAGUGGUAGAGAAGCUAGUGGUGUAGACCCGCGGCUCUCCCACCUGUCGGAGACUGGCUUCCAGUAUAUUCGAUACAUGUUUCUUCAGUUUCUACCCUGCGUGCAGCAAGCUUUGAAAGCUUCAGAGAAGAGUACGACAGUCUUGGCCAUAAACAAAUUGUUGUCUGAGGAGUGUCGGGGGCCAGGGCGUAAGGCAAGCACACAGAUGGCUAAAAUGACAGAUAAGUAUAAGAAGAAAAUGGCUCAUAGUUUCCCGGCCCAGACUAGCCUCACUGGCAUAAAUAAAUAAAUGUAAUCCAAGUACAUUGGUUGGAAAAUUCACAUUGAACAGCAAAGAAACAAAAUGGAAAGUAGAAUCCUCCCUCCUCCCACCCUCCAAUUCCUGUCCCCGAAGUUACACACCAUCCAUUGUCUCUCGUGAUUCACCCAGGAUGUUUUCCCCUAUGGACACACCAUCAUAUAUGUCCCGCUCUAACCCCCUCUCCCCCCACCCAACACACACGCGUGCUUUUAGAAUGUAUAUACAGAGGGGCGGUAGGAUACACAGGCUCUGCCCCAUGGGCCUCUUUCUAAAGUAAAGGACUUCGGGAAGGAGGGGGAGGCUCCUGCAGGCUCACUCGGGGCAGAGCUUUGUGAUUUCAGCAGGGAGGAAUGGGCUAAGGGUGCCCAGCCAACAGAGGGGGGAAAUGGAGCAAGCUCUGGACAAUCGUGCUAGGAAAUAAGCCAGACUGUGGUGAGGUAAUGCAUGGGCUCGGUGCUGUGCUUCGUUACAGUAACAAGACCCUUGGGACUCAAGGGGGUAGGGCGGGGGCAGCCCCAUGCAGGGAGAGGUGGAGCCCAGAGGAGCCUGGCUCUUGUUUUCCGUCUGCCUCUUUGUGCCGGGUCUGGAAGUGUUGCAGAAGGGGAAGGAAAGGGCCACCUGUAUUCAGGAUGAGCCCAACUGGACAAUUCCUCAUUCCCUUUGUUGUAGGAGGGGGCACGCCUUCAAUUUUGGCCUCUCUCCUUAACGAACAGUGCAGCUUUGUAGAGUGAUUUCCACUCUCUGAACCUUAGUUUUCUUGGACCUAGGUGAUCUCCGAGGCCAUUUCCAGGAAAGAUGUUGGGAUACGGCGUUAGAAGACGUAGGCCAGCCCUUUUAGCAUGUGUGUGUCUCUGUUUCCCUAGCUACAAAAUGGGGUUAAUCAUCACGCCCACCUCAUAGGGAGGGUGUGACGGUCAAAAGAGGAGAAAGUGCUUUGCUAACUGUAAGGUACUGAACAAACAGCAAACAUUAAUGUGCUGGAAGAAUGAUAGAGGCCAGGACUUUCCUGACCUUCUCCUACAGGCUUCCCCAGUUACUCCCAGAGUGGAACAACCACAAGGACUAAGAUAUCAAUUUUUUUUUUCUUUUAAAAGCAACUUUAGAGAUUUCCCUGGCGGCACAGUGGUUAAGUAUCUGCCUGCCAAUGCGGGGGACACGGGUUUGAUCCCUGGUCCGGGAAGAUCCCACAUGCCACAGAGCAACAAAGCCCGUGCGCCACAACUACUGAGCCUGUGCUCUACAGCCCACGAGCCACAACUACUGAAGCCUGCGUGCCACAACUAUUGAGCCCACAUGCCACAACUACUGAAGCCCGCGUGCCUAGAGCCUGCGUGCAUCAACGAAGACCCAACACAGCCAUAAAUAAAUAAAUAAAUGUAUUUUUAAAAAA
Molecule: long non-coding RNA, 1827 nt
Organism: Orcinus orca (killer whale)
Lineage: Eukaryota; Metazoa; Chordata; Mammalia; Artiodactyla; Delphinidae
Exons: 2
Source: RefSeq, a predicted model, not a curated record